RNAcentral lists this ribosomal RNA (497 nucleotides) under uncultured bacterium. RNAcentral describes it as "partial 16S ribosomal RNA". It matches the Rfam family "Bacterial small subunit ribosomal RNA", at positions 28 to 507 of the family's 1533-position model. The record is from RNAcentral.
GAUGAACGCUGGCGGCGUGCCUAAUACAUGCAAGUCGAGCGAACGGACGAGAAGCUUGCUUCUCUGAUGUUAGCGGCGGACGGGUGAGUAACACAUGGAUAACCUACCUAUAAGGCUGGGAUAACUUCGGGAAACCGUAGCUAAUACCGGAUAAUAUUUUGAACCGCAUGGUUCAAAAGUGAAAGACGGUCUUGCUGUCACUUAUAGAUGGAUCCGCGCUGCAUUAGCUAGUUGGUAAGGUAACGGCUUACCAAGGCAACGAUGCAUAGCCGACCUGAGAGGGUGAUCGGCCACACUGGAACUGAGACACGGUCCAGACUCCUACGGGAGGCAGCAGUAGGGAAUCUUCCGCAAUGGGCGAAAGCCUGACGGAGCAACGCCGCGUGAGUGAUGAAGGUCUUCGGAUCGUAAAACUCUGUUAUUAGGGAAGAACAUAUGUGUAAGUAACUGUGCACAUCUUGACGGUACCUAAUCAGAAAGCCACGGCUAACUACGUG